UAGAAACUGAAAUAUAGGUACCACCAAAAGCCACCAUUUUUUUUUAGUUUUCAUAAAAAGUUACAAGUGCAUAGCCAUUGUGAAAGAGUGGACCAGGAAAACAGAGGCAUUAGCAAUUGCCUUUUAGAGGAAAAAAAUUAUGUAUUUUUUUCCCUGCAAUUGAAUGUGCAUUCUCCCAUUUAAGUCCCAAGGUGAACUUCCAAGUUCCUCUAAG
This 214-nucleotide unclassified non-coding RNA is filed under the name Hevea brasiliensis (rubber tree). The record is from RNAcentral. Lineage: Eukaryota; Viridiplantae; Streptophyta; Magnoliopsida; Malpighiales; Euphorbiaceae.